UCCGAGUUGACCCCGGCGGUCUCCUGUGUUUCCACACCGGUCACCAACAUGUCAAGCCCAGGUAAGGUUCUUCGCGUUGCGUCGAAUUAAACCACAUGCUCCGCUGCUUGUGCGGGCCCCCGUCAAUUCCUUUGAGUUUUAGCCUUGCGGCCGUACUCCCCAGGCGGGACACUUAAUGCGUUAGCUGCGGCACGGGAGGAGUCGACACCUCCCACACCUAGUGUCCAUCGUUUACGGCGUGGACUAC
Molecule: unclassified non-coding RNA, 247 nt
Filed under: uncultured Solirubrobacterales bacterium
Lineage: Bacteria; Bacillati; Actinomycetota; Thermoleophilia; Solirubrobacterales
Description: contains 16S-23S intergenic spacer region
Source: RNAcentral